GACGAACUCUGGCGGCGUGCUUAACACAUGCAAGUCGAACGGUAAGGCUUCAGCUUGCUGGGGUACACGAGUGGCGAACGGGUGAGUAACACGUGGGUGACCUGCCCUGCACUUCGGGAUAAGCCUGGGAAACUGGGUCUAAUACCGGAUAGGACCGCACCGUGAGGGUGUGGUGGAAAGUUUUUUCGGUGUGGGAUGGGCCCGCGGCCUAUCAGCUUGUUGGUGGGGUAAUGGCCUACCAAGGCGGCGACGGGUAGCCGGCCUGAGAGGGUGGACGGCCACAUUGGGACUGAGACACGGCCCAGACUCCUACGGGAGGCAGCAGUGGGGAAUAUUGCACAAUGGGCGGAAGCCUGAUGCAGCGACGCCGCGUGGGGGAUGACGGCCUUCGGGUUGUAAACUCCUUUCACCAUCGACGAAGGGUUUCUGACGGUAGAUGGAGAAGAAGCACCGGCUAACUACGUGCCAGCAGCCGCGGUAAUACGUAGGGUGCGAGCGUUGUCCGGAAUUACUGGGCGUAAAGAGCUCGUAGGUGGUUUGUCGCGUCGUCUGUGAAAUUCCGGGGCUUAACUCCGGGCGUGCAGGCGAUACGGGCAUAACUUGAGUACUGUAGGGGAGACUGGAAUUCCUGGUGUAGCGGUGAAAUGCGCAGAUAUCAGGAGGAACACCGGUGGCGAAGGCGGGUCUCUGGGCAGUAACUGACGCUGAGGAGCGAAAGCAUGGGGAGCGAACAGGAUUAGAUACCCUGGUAGUCCAUGCCGUAAACGGUGGGCGCUAGGUGUGGGUUUCCUUCCACGGGAUCCGUGCCGUAGCUAACGCAUUAAGCGCCCCGCCUGGGGAGUACGGCCGCAAGGCUAAAACUCAAAGGAAUUGACGGGGGCCCGCACAAGCGGCGGAGCAUGUGGAUUAAUUCGAUGCAACGCGAAGAACCUUACCUGGGCUUGACAUAUACAGGAUCGCGCCAGAGAUGGUGUUUCCCUUGUGGCUUGUAUACAGGUGGUGCAUGGUUGUCGUCAGCUCGUGUCGUGAGAUGUUGGGUUAAGUCCCGCAACGAGCGCAACCCUUGUCUUAUGUUGCCAGCACGUUGUGGUGGGGACUCGUAAGAAACUGCCGGGGUUAACUCGGAGGAAGGUGGGGAUGACGUCAAAUCAUCAUGCCCCUUAUGUCCAGGGCUUCACACAUGCUACAAUGGUCGGUACAGUGGGUUGCCAGUCCGUGAGGGCGAGCUAAUCCCGCAAAGCCGGUCUCAGUUCGGAUCGGGGUCUGCAACUCGACCCCGUGAAGUCGGAGUCGCUAGUAAUCGCAGAUCAGCAACGCUGCGGUGAAUACGUUCCCGGGCCU
Molecule: ribosomal RNA, 1341 nt
Filed under: uncultured bacterium
Lineage: Bacteria
Description: partial 16S ribosomal RNA
Rfam family: Bacterial small subunit ribosomal RNA
Source: RNAcentral